RNAcentral lists this transfer RNA (74 nucleotides) under Phrynosoma platyrhinos (Desert horned lizard). RNAcentral's name for it is "tRNA-OTHER". The record is from RNAcentral. Lineage: Eukaryota; Metazoa; Chordata; Lepidosauria; Squamata; Phrynosomatidae.
GAUCUAGUAUGGCCUAGUGGUUUGAGUGUUGGACUAUGACUCUGUAGACCAGGGUUUGAUUCCCAGCUUGGCCA